Molecule: ribosomal RNA, 488 nt
Filed under: uncultured bacterium
Lineage: Bacteria
Description: partial 16S ribosomal RNA
Rfam family: Bacterial small subunit ribosomal RNA
Source: RNAcentral
GACGAACGCUGGCGGCGUGCUUAACACAUGCAAGUCGAACGGUGAAGCGCCAGCUUGCUGGAGUGGAUCAGUGGCGAACGGGUGAGUAACACGUGAGCAACCUGCCCCUGACUCUGGAAUAAGCGCUGGAAACGGCGUCUAAUACUGGAUACGAGAAGGGUCCGCAUGGGCACUUUCUGGAAAGUUGUUCGGUUGGGGAUGGGCUCGCGGCCUAUCAGCUUGUUGGUGAGGUAAUGGCUCACCAAGGCGACGACCGGUGGCCGGCCUGAGAGGGCGACCAGGCACACUGGAACUGAAACACGGUCGCGGCCCCGACGGGAGGCAGCAGCGGGGAAUAUUGGCCAAUGGGCGAGAGCCGGAUCCAGCCGUGCCGCGUGUGUGAAGAAGGUCUCCGGAUUGUAAAGCACUUUAAGUUGGGAGGAAGGGCAGUAAGUGAAGCCCUGGCUGUUUUGACGUUCCCAACAGAAUAAGCAACGGCUAACUUCGUG